RNAcentral lists this ribosomal RNA (484 nucleotides) under uncultured bacterium. Its description in RNAcentral is "bacterial SSU rRNA". It matches the Rfam family "Bacterial small subunit ribosomal RNA", at positions 29 to 507 of the family's 1533-position model. The record is from RNAcentral.
AUGAACGCUAGCGACAGGCUUAACACAUGCAAGUCGAGGGGCAGCGAGAAAGUGCUUGCACUUUUGUCGGCGACCGGCGCACGGGUGAGUAACACGUAUGCAACCUGCCCUUGUCAGGGGGAUAAGCGAGGGAAACCUCGUCUAAUACCGCAUAUAUGAUUUAGAGGCAUCUCAUAAUCAGGAAAGAAUUUCGGAAACGGAUAGGCUCGCGUGACAUUAGCUAGAUGGCGGGGUAACGGCCCACCAUGGCUACGAUGUCUAGGGGUUCUGAGAGGAAGGUCCCCCACACUGGAACUGAGACACGGUCCAGACUCCUACGGGAGGCAGCAGUGAGGAAUAUUGGUCAAUGGUCUGACGACUGAACCAGCCAUGCCGCGUGAAGGUGACGGCCCUAUGGGUCUUAAACUUCUUUUGUAAGGGAGCAAUAAGUCUCACGUGUGGGAUGAUGAGAGUACCUUACGAAUAAGCAUCGGCUAACUCCGUG